GGUUAAGCGACUAAGCGUACACGGUGGAUGCCCUGGCAGUCAGAGGCGAUGAAGGACGUGCUAAUCUGCGAUAAGCGUCGGUAAGGUGAUAUGAACCGUUAUAACCGGCGAUUUCCGAAUGGGGAAACCCAGUGUGAUUCGUCACACUAUCAUUACGUGAAUACAUAGCGUAAUGAAGCGAACCGGGGGAACUGAAACAUCUAAGUACCCCGAGGAAAAGAAAUCAACCGAGAUUCCCCCCAGUAGCGGCGAGCGAACGGGGAGCAGCCCAGAGUCUGAAUCAGCUUGUGUGUUAGUGGAACGGUCUGGAAAGUCCGACGGUACAGGGUGAUAGUCCCGUACACCAAAAUGCACAGGUUGUGAACUCGAAGAGUAGGGCGGGACACGUGGUAUCCUGUCUGAAUAUGGGGGGACCAUCCUCCAAGGCUAAAUACUCCUGACUGACCGAUAGUGAACCAGUACCGUGAGGGAAAGGCGAAAAGAACCCCGGCGAGGGGAGUGAAAAAGAACCUGAAACCGUGUACGUACAAGCAGUGGGAGCAUCCUUUUGGGUGUGACUGCGUACCUUUUGUAUAAUGGGUCAGCGACUUAUAUUCUGUAGCAAGGUUAACCGUAUAGGGGAGCCGAAGGGAAACCGAGUCUUAACUGGGCGUUAAGUUGCAGGGUAUAGACCCGAAACCCGGUGAUCUAGCCAUGGGCAGGUUGAAGGUUGGGUAACACUAACUGGAGGACCGAACCGACUAAUGUUGAAAAAUUAGCGGAUGACUUGUGGCUGGGGGUGAAAGGCCAAUCAAACCGGGAGAUAGCUGGUUCUCCCCGAAAGCUAUUUAGGUAGCGCCUCGUGAAUUCAUCUUCGGGGGUAGAGCACUGUUUCGGCUAGGGGGUCAUCCCGACUUACCAACCCGAUGCAAACUGCGAAUACCGAAGAAUGUUAUCACGGGAGACACACGGCGGGUGCUAACGUCCGUCGUGAAGAGGGAAACAACCCAGACCGCCAGCUAAGGUCCCAAAGUCAUGGUUAAGUGGGAAACGAUGUGGGAAGGCACAGACAGCCAGGAUGUUGGCUUAGAAGCAGCCAUCAUUUAAAGAAAGCGUAAUAGCUCACUGGUCGAGUCGGCCUGCGCGGAAGAUGUAACGGGGCUAAACCAUGCACCGAAGCUGCGGCAGCGACACUAUGUGUUGUUGGGUAGGGGAGCGUUCUGUAAGCCGUUGAAGGUGUGCUGUGAGGCAUGCUGGAGGUAUCAGAAGUGCGAAUGCUGACAUAAGUAACGAUAAUGCGGGUGAAAAACCCGCACGCCGGAAGACCAAGGGUUCCUGUCCAACGUUAAUCGGGGCAGGGUGAGUCGACCCCUAAGGCGAGGCCGAAAGGCGUAGUCGAUGGGAAACAGGUUAAUAUUCCUGUACUUGGUGUUACUGCGAAGGGGGGACGGAGAAGGCUAUGUUAGCCGGGCGACGGUUGUCCCGGUUUAAGCAUGUAGGCGGAGGUUCCAGGUAAAUCCGGUACCUUUUUAACGCUGAGGUGUGAUGACGAGGCACUACGGUGCUGAAGUAACAAAUGCCCUGCUUCCAGGAAAAGCCUCUAAGCAUCAGGUAACACGAAAUCGUACCCAAAACCGACACAGGUGGUCAGGUAGAGAAUACCAAGGCGCUUGAGAGAACUCGGGUGAAGGAACUAGGCAAAAUGGUGCCGUAACUUCGGGAGAAGGCACGCUGAUAUGUAGGUGAAGUGAUUUACUCAUGGAGCUGAAAUCAGUCGAAGAUACCAGCUGGCUGCAACUGUUUAUUAAAAACACAGCACUGUGCAAACACGAAAGUGGACGUAUACGGUGUGACGCCUGCCCGGUGCCGGAAGGUUAAUUGAUGGGGUUAUCCGUAAGGAGAAGCUCUUGAUCGAAGCCCCGGUAAACGGCGGCCGUAACUAUAACGGUCCUAAGGUAGCGAAAUUCCUUGUCGGGUAAGUUCCGACCUGCACGAAUGGCGUAAUGAUGGCCGGGCUGUCUCCACCCGAGACUCAGUGAAAUUGAACUCGCUGUGAAGAUGCAGUGUACCCGCGGCAAGACGGAAAGACCCCGUGAACCUUUACUAUAGCUUGACACUGAACACUGGUCCUUGAUGUGUAGGAUAGGUGGGAGGCUUUGAAGUGUGGACGCCAGUCUGCAUGGAGCCAUCCUUGAAAUACCACCCUUUAAUGGCUGGUGUUCUAACGUGGACCCGUAAUCCGGGUUGCGGACAGUGUCUGGUGGGUAGUUUGACUGGGGCGGUCUCCUCCUAAAGAGUAACGGAGGAGCACGAAGGUUAGCUAAUCCUGGUCGGACAUCAGGAGGUUAGUGCAAAGGCAUAAGCUAGCUUGACUGCGAGAGUGACGGCUCGAGCAGGUGCGAAAGCAGGUCUUAGUGAUCCGGUGGUUCUGAAUGGAAGGGCCAUCGCUCAACGGAUAAAAGGUACUCCGGGGAUAACAGGCUGAUACCGCCCAAGAGUUCAUAUCGACGGCGGUGUUUGGCACCUCGAUGUCGGCUCAUCACAUCCUGGGGCUGAAGUAGGUCCCAAGGGUAUGGCUGUUCGCCAUUUAAAGUGGUACGCGAGCUGGGUUUAGAACGUCGUGAGACAGUUCGGUCCCUAUCUGCCGUGGGCGCUGGAGAAUUGAGGGGGGCUGCUCCUAGUACGAGAGGACCGGAGUGGACGCAUCACUGGUGUUCGGGUUGUCAUGCCAAUGGCAUUGCCCGGUAGCUAAAUGCGGAAGAGAUAAGUGCUGAAAGCAUCUAAGCACGAAACUUGCCCCGAGAUGAGUUCUCCCUGAGACUUUAAGUCUCCUGAAGGAACGUUGAAGACGACGACGUUGAUAGGUCGGGUGUGUAAGUGUAGCGAUACAUUGAGCUAACCGAUACUAAUGAACCGUGAGGCUUAACCUU
RNAcentral lists this ribosomal RNA (2909 nucleotides) under Citrobacter freundii. Its description in RNAcentral is "23S ribosomal RNA". It matches the Rfam family "Bacterial large subunit ribosomal RNA". Lineage: Bacteria; Pseudomonadati; Pseudomonadota; Gammaproteobacteria; Enterobacterales; Enterobacteriaceae. The record is from RNAcentral.